This 1060-nucleotide ribosomal RNA is filed under the name uncultured bacterium. RNAcentral describes it as "bacterial SSU rRNA". It matches the Rfam family "Bacterial small subunit ribosomal RNA", at positions 37 to 1086 of the family's 1533-position model. The record is from RNAcentral.
GGGGGGGGGGGCCUACACAUGCAAGUCGAGCGGUAACAGAGAAUAGCUUGCUAUUCUGCUGACGAGCGGCGGACGGGUGAGUAACGCGUAGGAAUCUGCCCGGUAGCGGGGGAUAGCCCAGAGAAAUUUGGAUUAAUACCGCAUACGCCCUACGGGGGAAAGGAGGGGAUCUUCGGACCUUCCACUAUCGGAUGAGCCUGCGUGAGAUUAGCUAGUUGGUGGGGUAAAGGCCUACCAAGGCGACGAUCUCUAGCUGGUCUGAGAGGAUGAUCAGCCACACCGGAACUGAGACACGGUCCGGACUCCUACGGGAGGCAGCAGUGGGGAAUAUUGCACAAUGGGCGAAAGCCUGAUGCAGCCAUGCCGCGUGUGUGAAGAAGGCCUUAGGGUUGUAAAGCACUUUCAGCGAGGAGGAAAGGUUAGUCGCUAAUAUCGGCUAGCUGUGACGUUACUCGCAGAAGAAGCACCGGCUAACUCCGUGCCAGCAGCCGCGGUAAUACGGAGGGUGCAAGCGUUAAUCGGAAUUACUGGGCGUAAAGCGCGCGUAGGCGGCUUGUUAAGCCAGAUGUGAAAGCCCCGGGCUUAACCUGGGAACUGCAUUUGGAACUGGCAGGCUAGAGUACAGAAGAGGGUGGUAGAAUUUCCUGUGUAGCGGUGAAAUGCGUAGAUAUAGGAAGGAAUACCAGUGGCGAAGGCGGCCACCUGGUCUGAUACUGACGCUGAGGUGCGAAAGCGUGGGGGAGCAAACAGGAUUAGAUACCCUGGUAGUCCACGCCGUAAACGAUGUCUACUAGCCGUUGGAAACCUUGAGUUUUUAGUGGCGCAGCUAACGCGAUAAGUAGACCGCCUGGGGAGUACGGUCGCAAGAUUAAAACUCAAAUGAAUUGACGGGGGCCCGCACAAGCGGUGGAGCAUGUGGUUUUAUUCGAAGCAACGCGAAGAACCUUACCUACUCUUGACAUCCAGAGAACUUAGCAGAGAUGCUUUGGUGCCUUCGGGAACUCUGAAACAGUGCUGCAUGGCUGUCGUCAGCUCGUGUUGUGAAAUGGUGGGUUAAGUC